Molecule: signal recognition particle RNA, 264 nt
Filed under: Microcaldota archaeon
Lineage: Archaea; Nanobdellati; Microcaldota
Description: Candidatus Micrarchaeota archaeon (hot springs metagenome) signal recognition particle sRNA
Rfam family: Archaeal signal recognition particle RNA
Source: RNAcentral
UGGUCGGCGGGCUGGGAGGCUAGGGGUCUCCUACUCCAAAAAUCCUCUAUAUUGGGGCCUAAAGGCUUGGGGCGGACACCAUGUCAGUCAGCCCUAUUGCGACGCCGUAGAAGCUCUGUCCUAUGGGAAGGUUACCUGUAUGAACCAGGCCAGGCCGGAAGGAGCAACCUUAAGUACAGGACACCUUGUCUGUAGGGUAGCGGAGUGGAGGCUAGCAGUAGACCAGCUGAUUGGUAUGGAAACCAACUCAAGCCAGUCCGACCA